UACGAAGGGAGCUAGCGUUGUUCGGAAUCACUGGGCGUAAAGCGCACGUAGGCGGAUUGUUAAGUCAGGGGUGAAAUCCUGGAGCUCAACUCCAGAACUGCCUUUGAUACUGGCGAUCUCGAGUCCGGGAGAGGUGAGUGGAACUGCGAGUGUAGAGGUGAAAUUCGUAGAUAUUCGCAAGAACACCAGUGGCGAAGGCGGCUCACUGGCCCGUAACUGACGCUGAGGCACGAAAGCGUGGGGAGCAAACAGG
This 253-nucleotide ribosomal RNA is filed under the name uncultured bacterium. RNAcentral's name for it is "partial 16S ribosomal RNA". It matches the Rfam family "Bacterial small subunit ribosomal RNA", at positions 524 to 776 of the family's 1533-position model. The record is from RNAcentral.